UACGUAGGGUGCGAGCGUUAAUCGGAAUUACUGGGCGUAAAGCGUGCGCAGGCGGUUGUGCAAGACCGAUGUGAAAUCCCCGGGCUUAACCUGGGAAUUGCAUUUGUGACUGCACGGCUAGAGUGUGUCAGAGGGGGGUAGAAUUCCACGUGUAGCAGUGAAAUGCGUAGAUAUGUGGAGGAAUACCGAUGGCGAAGGCAGCCCCCUGGGAUAACACUGACGCUCAUGCACGAAAGCGUGGGGAGCAAACAGG
This 253-nucleotide ribosomal RNA is filed under the name uncultured bacterium. Its description in RNAcentral is "partial 16S ribosomal RNA". It matches the Rfam family "Bacterial small subunit ribosomal RNA", at positions 524 to 776 of the family's 1533-position model. The record is from RNAcentral.